UCGGGCGUGGUGCACGGUGCACGGCGGCUACUAUUUCAUGAGGGAAAUGGAACAAUGGAAGCCGCAGACCGGGGUUCGCUUCCCCGCGCCCGAU
Non-coding RNA from Mycena rosella, 94 nucleotides. NCBI's taxonomy places the organism in Eukaryota, Fungi, Basidiomycota, Agaricomycetes, Agaricales, Mycenaceae. The record is from the annotation of a GenBank genome assembly.